UGGGAAUAAGGUGUUUCAGACAUGGUCUGA
This 30-nucleotide non-coding RNA is filed under the name Mus musculus (house mouse). The record is from RNAcentral. Lineage: Eukaryota; Metazoa; Chordata; Mammalia; Rodentia; Muridae.